Molecule: non-coding RNA, 43 nt
Filed under: Cylindrotheca closterium
Lineage: Eukaryota; Bacillariophyta; Bacillariophyceae; Bacillariales; Bacillariaceae
Source: RNAcentral
AUUUUUUUUUUUUUUUUUAAUUUUUUUCUUUCUUUAACUCUGU